Molecule: ribosomal RNA, 496 nt
Filed under: uncultured bacterium
Lineage: Bacteria
Description: partial 16S ribosomal RNA
Rfam family: Bacterial small subunit ribosomal RNA
Source: RNAcentral
GAUGAACGCUGGCGGCGUGCCUAAUACAUGCAAGUCGAGCGAACGGACGAGAAGCUUGCUUCUCUGAUGUUAGCGGCGGACGGGUGAGUAAACGUGGAUAACCUACCUAUAAGACUGGGAUAACUUCGGGAAACCGGAGCUAAUACCGGAUGAUAUUUUGAACCGCAUGGUUCAAAAGUGAAAGACGGUCUUGCUGUCACUUAUAGAUGGAUCCGCGCUGCAUUAGCUAGUUGGUAAGGUAACGGCUUACCAAGGCAACGAUGCAUAGCCGACCUGAGAGGGUGAUCGGCCACACUGGAACUGAGACACGGUCCAGACUCCUACGGGAGGCAGCAGUAGGGAAUCUUCCGCAAUGGGCGAAAGCCUGACGGAGCAACGCCGCGUGAGUGAUGAAGGUCUUCGGAUCGUAAAACUCUGUUAUUAGGGAAGAACAUAUGUGUAAGUAACUGUGCACAUCUUGACGGUACCUAAUCAGAAAGCCACGGCUAACUACGUG